CAUGUCACUGUUGGCAGAAUUGCCUGUCUUGAGAACCAUGUAGCAUCAUGAACACAAAGUCCUUCACCGCCCUCUGUGGGGGUGGGGUCCCCCAGAAAUGUGCAGCAGGAUUAGGAAGCCCUGGCUGGGGACUGGCCCAGGCAGGAAGGUAUGUGGGACCCCCCCAUAGACCCAGGUCCUUCCCACCAGUGGUUGACACAUCUCCAUGGAGCCCGGGCCCCAAGGUGGUCCCACCGUCCCCACAGAUGGGAAACAAGGAUUUUCCCACACCUCGCAUCCCUUCCACCUGAUCUCGCAUCCACCUAACGUCCUCAGAUGCAGAAUGUCCUCAGCAGGGGCUUUGGGGGACUCCCUCAUUCAGUGAGCUGAGGUGUGUCUGGCAGUAUGCUGCUCCCCACACCUUGUCACAUCUGUGACCUCCCUCUCCACAAGCACCCACGCCUGUGGUGGGACCCCCGAUGCCACAGACCGUAGGCCCAAUUUCAGUUUGUGUUUGAGAUAACCUUUGCUGUACCCUUAAUCGGAUCAAAAGCACUUUUACCACAUGGAGAAAUAUAUUUUUAAUUUGUGAUGCUUUUCUACAAAGUCCACUCUUUCUGAGUUCAGGUGUUUCCAACACUUAGGGAGACUAAUGAAGGCCAAUGACCUUUUCUUUUCUGUCCAAACAAGAAAAAUAAAAAUAAAAGUCUAUUUAG
RNAcentral lists this long non-coding RNA (695 nucleotides) under Rattus norvegicus (Norway rat). RNAcentral's name for it is "long non-coding RNA NONRATT014819". Lineage: Eukaryota; Metazoa; Chordata; Mammalia; Rodentia; Muridae. The record is from RNAcentral.